Molecule: ribosomal RNA, 456 nt
Filed under: uncultured bacterium
Lineage: Bacteria
Description: bacterial SSU rRNA
Rfam family: Bacterial small subunit ribosomal RNA
Source: RNAcentral
UACGGGAGGCAGCAGUGGGGAAUAUUGCACAAUGGGCGCAAGCCUGAUGCAGCCAUGCCGCGUGUAUGAAGAAGGCCUUCGGGUUGUAAAGUACUUUCAGCGGGGAGGAAGGCGGUGAAGUUAAUAGCUUCACCGAUUGACGUUACCCGCAGAAGAAGCACCGGCUAACUCCGUGCCAGCAGCCGCGGUAAUACGGAGGGUGCAAGCGUUAAUCGGAAUUACUGGGCGUAAAGCGCACGCAGGCGGUCUGUCAAGUCGGAUGUGAAAUCCCCGGGCUUAACCUGGGAACUGCAUUCGAACUGGCAGGCUAGAGUCUUGUAGAGGGGGGUAGAAUUCCGAGGUGUAGCGGUGAAAUGCGUAGAGAUCUGGAGGAAUACCGGUGGCGAAGGCGGCCCCUGGCAAAGCUGACGCUCAGGUGCGAAAGCGUGGGGAGCAAACAGGGAUUAGGAUACCCGU